GAUGAACGCUGGCGGCGUGCCUAAUACAUGCAAGUCGAGCGAAGCGGGGACGGGUGAGUAACACGUGGAUAACCUCCUAUAAGACUGGGAUAACUUCGGGAAACCGGAGCUAUACCGGAUACUUAUAGAUUGAUCCUCGCUGCAUUAGCUAGUUGGUAAGGUAACGGCUUACAAAGGCAACGAUGCAUAGCCGGACUGAGAGGGGGAUCGGCCACACGGGAACUGAGACACGGCCCAGACUCCUACGGGAGGCAGCAGUAGGGAAUCUGCCGCAAUGGGCGAAAGCCUGACGGAGCAACGCCGCGUGAGUGAUGAAGGCCUUAGGAUCGUAAAACUCUGUUAUUAGGGAAGCGGUACCGAAUCAGAAAGCCACGGCUAACUACGUGCCAGCAGCCGCGGUAAUUC
Molecule: ribosomal RNA, 405 nt
Filed under: uncultured bacterium
Lineage: Bacteria
Description: partial 16S ribosomal RNA
Rfam family: Bacterial small subunit ribosomal RNA
Source: RNAcentral